CUUGACACACAUAAGAGGUCCAGCCUGCCCAGUGACUAAGUUCAACGGCCGCGGUAUCCUAACCGUGCGAAGGUAGCGUAAUCACUUGUUCUUUAAAUGAGGACUAGUAUGAAUGGCACCACGAGGGUUAUACUGUCUCCUUUUUUUAAUCAAUGAAACUGAUCUCCCCGUGAAGAAGCGGGGAUAAAUUUAUAAGACGAGAAGACCCUAUGGAGCUUUAAACAAUUAUAGCACUGGCCCCCCACCUCUUAUUCUUCUGAGAUAUAAUUAUUAUACAGGCCAACAUGACUAUUAGUUUUAGGUUGGGGUGACCGCGGAGCAAAAAUUAACCUCCACGUUGAACGGAGCUACUCCUGAGCUAAAAACUACAACUUUAAGCACCAAUAAACUGACAUCAAUUGACCCAAUAUAUUGAACAACGAAC
This 424-nucleotide ribosomal RNA is filed under the name Dendropsophus cf. mathiassoni ABGD cluster 82. RNAcentral describes it as "partial large subunit ribosomal RNA". It matches the Rfam family "Bacterial large subunit ribosomal RNA", at positions 1835 to 2457 of the family's 2925-position model. The record is from RNAcentral. Lineage: Eukaryota; Metazoa; Chordata; Amphibia; Anura; Hylidae.